UUAACCGAAUAGGGGAGCCGAAGGGAAACCGAGUCUUAACCGGGCGUUAAGUUGCAGGGUAUAGACCCGAAACCCGGUGAUCUAGCCAUGGGCAGGUUGAAGGUUGGGUAACACUAACUGGAGGACCGAACCGACUAAUGUUGAAAAAUUAGCGGAUGACUUGUGGCUGGGGGUGAAAGGCCAAUCAAACCGGGAGAUAGCUGGUUCUCCCCGAAAGCUAUUUAGGUAGCGCCUCGUGAAUUCAUCUCCGGGGGUAGAGCACUGUUUCGGCAAGGGGGUCAUCCCGACUUACCAACCCGAUGCAAACUGCGAAUACCGGAGAAUGUUAUCACGGGAGACACACGGCGGGUGCUAACGUCCGUCGUGAAGAGGGAAACAACCCAGACCGCCAGCUAAGGUCCCAAAGUCAUGGUUAAGUGGGAAACGAUGUGGGAAGGCCCAGACAGCCAGGAUGUUGGCUUAGAAGCAGCCAUCAUUUAAAGAAAGCGUAAUAGCUCACUGGUCGAGUCGGCCUGCGCGGAAGAUGUAACGGGGCUAAACCAUGCACCGAAGCUGCGGCAGCGACACUGUGUGUUGUUGGGUAGGGGAGCGU
Molecule: ribosomal RNA, 592 nt
Filed under: Escherichia coli
Lineage: Bacteria; Pseudomonadati; Pseudomonadota; Gammaproteobacteria; Enterobacterales; Enterobacteriaceae
Description: bacterial LSU rRNA
Rfam family: Bacterial large subunit ribosomal RNA
Source: RNAcentral